AGCUCAGGUUGGGAGUGAAGGCACCCUGGGCUUGCAAGAGAGAAGGUCCCAAAAGCCCAACUCGGUGCAACAGUUUGGGUUAUAAUGUUUUACAAACAGUUCUUCUCAUGUGGAGACUCCACCAAAAGUCAGGUCAGGGGCUGAUACCAAUGUGAUCAACAGCUUCAGCUUCUGGGAGAAGGAUCAGGAUAAGAACUUAUGAGCUGAGCAGCCCCCAAGGGAGGAUGCCUGGGAUCAUCCUUCCAGCCACUCUGCCUUGGGAGCACAUUACUGCAGCUGAAGAGAGCUGGGGUGGAUGCAGAGGGACAUGGAUAAAGGGGUCUAGGAGGGCUUUGCUCCUUCUCCAAGCUGGCUGCACAGAAUCCAAGCAGGUGAUGAAACCCAACAACUCAGCAGCUCUCAGCCUCCCAGGAAUAAGAAUAGAGAUGAAGUUUCCAAUAACACUUCCCAGUUCAGUCUGUCCAGUCGUCCUACAGCCUGCUGGGGGAUUGCCUCUGCUGUUUUCCAUCCAUGAAACACCCUUCUCUCCCUGGCCCCAUCAGCCAUGUGCUGUUAACGCUCAUCACACUCCACCCCAGGAGCGGCUGCACCUCAGCAGAGAUGUGAAGACACAUAAUAAUGUGUCGAACCCCAGCACAGUCUCUGUUGUUCACCUUGCUCUUGUUAGUCCUGAAAUCUUCCAGGCUCUUCAGAGAGGCAGCAGCAAAAGAAGAGUCUGGCAACGAGCUCCCAGAGUAGGGAAACGUGAGCUGGUGGAGGCUGUGCUGGAUCUGACAGCCAGGAUCGGCCCCUGACCCGAGGCUGGAUCCAGCCAUGCCUGAGCACUGUGGGAGUUCCCAUCUGGAUCUCAGCUUUGCAGCCUGGGUCCUCCCCUGCCCAGGGGGAUUAGCGAGACGCGGUUCCCAGGGCGGGGGAAAGGGGCUAAUGAACAGAGACAGGAUAACGAAGCAGGUAAGGGCUUCCUGUACUUGAGGGCUCAGGAGGAAAUCCUGCAGCUGGUGAAUCUGGAUACGAUUAGUGUCCAUUUCUCCCUGUGUAAUCAACCCAUCUGUUCAUCCUUGCGCAUCAGCCGCGCACGCCCCGUUGCAGGCAGAUUCCUCCCGGGCACCGCUUUUAUCCCUGUCUGCCAUGGCCACUCCAGGCAGGCUUGAGAACAAGGCUCGCUCUGAGCCGUGACGGCGUAGGGAGGGAGUCCCGGGAGAGCUGCUCCCACAAACGGGGCCGGGAUGGCUGCAAACAGCAGGACCGAGCCCAGGAAAAGCCUCUUCUCCGGGGGCGGGGAGGGCGGGCGCCUUCUCCAAAGGGCUUUGAACAGGCGUUCAAAGAGAUCCCUGUAACACAGAGAUAAGCUCAGCUCUCCAGGCGCUGCCCGCUCCUCCGAGCUCAGCUUUGCCACCAGCAGGUAGAGGUGGAUUAUGUUUGGCUGCCCGGCUUCAAAGCCCUGUUCAUCCCACGGGAUCCUGAGCAAGGGCUGUCCGGUCCCCACGCGGUGGUGGAAGGGACUGGGCUCUCAGAACCACUCUGUGAGAACGCUGUUAAAGCUGAGAGGUGCUGCUGCAGGAUCCUGAGGAUUCAUUUCACCUUCUUUUCCUCGACAGCCUUGUCCCACUGUGCAAAAACCAGGUGGCAGCCCUGCCUUGGCUUACAAAUGUCAGGCCAACACACCAGCCUGGGCUGAAACGAAGUCCAAGGAAGUGCAGAUUGAUUUUUUUGUUGUAAUGCAGUGGUUCAAACUUGUGUGGUCCUUUAGGGCCUUCUGAAAGGUCAAGCUUGGUGACAGAGUUGGGACAAAAAUUUUCAGGUUAUAAUUCCCAGUCCCAGUAUCCUGUGGGACCUGCACUUAUACAGGCUCUUGCCUGUGGUCACUGGAGUGUCCUGGGAGGAUCCAUCACCCCAAGUGUUGUCCACAUAAAGAUGGUCCCUACCCCGAGCAGUUUAUGUGCUCAGCCCAGUUCUCUCCCUGUGUGGAGUUCAGGGAUCCAGGCACCUGAUCCUGCCAUUUGCUGAGUGCCAAAGUGUCAUUAGGACCAGGAACAAUUUGAGGAAUGCAGCACAGGUUAAACAUUUAAUUUGCUUUCAAGGGCUACUUGUUGCUCCAUUCCUAAAUGCAAGCUGUCCUCAGCCCCUAUUAUUUUGCUCAGGUCUGCUCUUUGGGUCCUAAAUCUUCUGAUUUUUGUUUGGUUUGGAAUGCACUGAUUUACCACUAAGGAAUAAAUGGAAAGCAAAAGAAAACAGCAGGAGCUGUUUGUACAGGCCCUAUAUUGUUCUGCUGCUAGUGAAAUAGGAGUGAUAAAUCCUGCUCCCUGGACAGAGAGAGGUUUUUGGGUGGUGGCUGUGUGUGAACAAGGCCAGGGAAGAUAAACAACAAGAAAAAAACUGGGUUUAGGAAAUGACAGUUGAGGAUGGUCAAUCAACAGAUGCUUCAAAGCCAACAAAAUACCAUCAAUUAGCAAAGCCAUAUUAAUAUUGUUUCUCCAAGGCAUUUUUGCAUCCACAAAGAGGGCCAAGGGCUGGAUGUGUGUAAUGGUAUCUGUGGUCAAACUUGGCUGCAAUUAGGAAUCUGUACCGUUCCUAUGUUGGAGGUGGGGGUGGGGGGAGUUUUAUAAAGAACUUUCCACGUAGAAAAUCUGUCCACGGUUCCAGAAGGGCUCAACCAAAAGGGUGAUGAAAAUGUGUCUGUUGGUGUCAUUGUCAGAACUGCUGGAGGUGGGAACAUUUGCUAAUCUUGCUUAUUUUAAGGGCCCUGCUUUCAGCAGCAGUUCAGCUCUGAAAAUGCAGCUCUGAAAACUCAGCCCUGGAGAGUCUCAUACAAUACACGCCUCAGACUAGACUAAAGAGGGAUGAAUUCUUCAGACUGCAGGUUCUUGCCUGCCUAAUUAUGAUUUUCAGCUUCUUAAGAUUAGGUCUUUGCAUUGUAUAAAUGUGACAGAGAAGAAAUAGCUGUGACACUGCCUUGAGCUUGCUGUUCCAGCUGGGGAGGAACUCAGCUAAACCUGCAGAGUUUCAGAGCUUGCAGAGCUGAUGUGGAAGGGGAAUUUAGUUUCACAUUUGGAACUCAAACUCAGUUCCCUGAGCAAUCUAAACUGUCACCAUUUCUCUUCUGUCCAGCUCACCCAGGAUGGCCUGGGAACAGUGUCACUCUUGAGGGGUAACUUUGGCGUCCUGGGUCAAGAAAGGUUUCUGUAUCAAAACAACCUUCAUCAGCUCCAGUGGCUACACCUCUAUUGGAACCUUUCAGUAGGUUCCAGAAGGUUUAGACCUUCUCUGUGGGUUUUGACUUUCCUGUUCAGCUGUUUCCACAGACACAUAAGGUGCUUUGCAGCUGCAUAAAAUGGCUUUUGGGUGAAUUCAGGACUGGUCAAAGUCUAACAUGGUUUGGCUUGCAGGAUUCGUGCAGCUCCAAAUCCAGUUUGGGUUGGGUCCCAGUGAUGUGGAAAGUGAAGCCACCUCUCACUUUAGCAGGCAGAGUGCUCUCUUGCCAUCUCUGCCACCAUCCAUCUUCUGGAAGAGAGAGGAGAAACUGCCCUGUGUGCAAGAAUCCUUUAGAGCAGGAUGGGAUGUGGGUCACACACAGACUGCUGGGCACGUAGCAAAAAGACCAGCAAAGUUGUCAAAAACCUCAGUUUGGAUUUCUGUGCUUCCUGGGUCUGGGAGCCCCAGAGCUGUGUCUGUGAGAAGGCAGCUCCAUCCUUGGUGGGAGAAGCAGGCAGGAAAGAGCUUGGAUGGACUCUGACUUUUUUUUUCCUCAGAAGUGCUGUGGCAAAAGUAUGAAUAAUGCAUGUAAGUUCAAUUCUUUUCUCCCUGGCUGAGGGCAAGGUGUCCCAGCUGAUAAGAACUGGGAGCCCAAUCUUGUUAAAGCCAGUGUUAGACUUGGACCUUCAUGGGAUCUACUGCCUCAAGCAAUUCCAUUGUUCAAAGCACAUUUGGUUAAUUAGCACAUUAACUAAUUAACCUUCUCAGCAUCCCAGGUAGGGAAUAUCUGUCUCCCAAAGGAGGAAACAGGAGCAAAGUGACUCACUAGGACUGGAUGCAGGAGCUCAGCAAUGCAGCUGCGAAGUCUGGGGCUUUUCCCUUCCCAAAUGAUUUUGUUGUUGCUGAGGGUGCCUUGUGCACACAGUUCCCUCAAGACAGAAAUGAAGGAGUCCUAAAAAGACUCCCAACAGAAUGCUCAGGCCCAGUGAGGAAAAGUGCCACUGGCAAACAGUCCAAAUACCCAGAGAAGGCAAAUUUGCUUCACCCACAUGCACCAGCUAAGGAAUAAAAAGCCAAUACCACCAGGAAAGUUUUUCUCACCACGAAAAUGACUAAACCCCGGUAUCUUCUCAUUCACAUUUUCAUCCACUCUAAAAUUUCACGACCCAGAAGCCAAAUGGCCGGUGUGGGAAGGAGAGAGCAUGUGAGAGACAACAGUGGGGCUGUGUUUGUACAGGCUCGCUGGGAUGUGACCAGACCAGAAGGAUAAGACCCAAAGAGACUCCAGCAAACAGCCAGAGGGGAAACUUUGAUGCUGAGGAAGUCCUCCGACUGGAACACAUGAUGAUGAGCAGCUGAUUUCCACAGCUUUGCAGCGUGGUAGGAAAAAACCCAGGGCCAGAGCACAAGGGUAGAGUUCUCUGCCUUGCAAGACCCAUGACAGCAUCACAGACCUUUUCUCACGAGUCUUGGUCACAAACAGAAAAGGGAGGCUUGUUCUCCCCACCCUGACCUGGAGGCAGAGAGUUCUGUGCUCUACCUCCUAUCAAAUGACAAUCCUUGGCAGCGAGGAUGUGUGUGCAGAAGAAGCAACUCCUGCAUGCAAUGGUAUGUCCCAGAGGAACAGAGUCUCCCAGGGCUUAAUUAUGGGGCCAUGUGCUUACCAGUCCCUUGCUCCUGGCUUCCAACCAGCCCAGGCAGUCACGGCCCUUCCCACUGGAAGCUUGAACAGGAAUGUCAAGGGUGUGCCUUGAAUGAGAGCACAGCAACAGCACCUGAGAGCAGAAAGCACCAAAGCAGGAGGCCUGUCCUGUGGAAGGGACCCCUUUCAUGACCACGUCUUAAUCUACCACCAGUUUACUAAGCCCACAGCAGCCCAGAUUGGAGGCUGCAAAAAUAUCUCCCUUGCAAAAAUCCUCCCUUGUCCUUUGUGAAGCUCCAGCAUUUUAAUCAUGUUCACACCUCCCUCUCCUGACACAAACCAUCUCAGCUCCCUCAGUAACCCAGGUCCACAAAAACCUGUGUGUUCCUGAUCUCAAUCCCUUGCUUACAUUCUCCCUUCCAUAAGCCUCCCAAACAUCCCCCUUUGUUUAUUCUCUGUAUCCCCAUCUUUCACCCUGUGCACUCCCCUCAUUUGACUAAGAUAUAUUGAAUAAGCAACUCGUGCAGAGGGGCUACAGACAAUUUUGGCUGUGCUAUUGGUAUCUUCAGCAAUCCCAGCCCUGUGCAUGUUCCUAAUUCCAUAUUGCUUCAUCUCAGCACCACCAGGAAGGUGCUGCCUAGUUGAUCCAGGGACCCUGUUACUGGGAAAGGCAAAACACCCUGUCUUGUAAAUGUAUCUUGUUUUGUUGUGUUCAUUUUUCCUUAGAAUAUGGGUCAAAAUAAGAGUUCCUCAGUUUGUCAGGGGGUUUCUAGAAGAGAGUAUUGGUGGUGCCAGAGCAGCUGAAAUUGUAUUUCAUUCUUAGCUUCAACCUGAUGUGCUGCAAGUGGCCAUUCUUACCUAUCCCUAUAAUUAUCCAGGGCCCUUUGGUCUUCAUCCUGCAUCUUGUCUUGCUGCAUCUCCUGGAAAAGUAUUGCACAAGAAACUGCACUGUUCUUUCUGUGCAAAGGCAUUUCCAAAGCAAGCCUUGCCUUCCCAAAUCCUGGUAAAAUUAACCAGCCUUGAAUCUCUUAAAUGUCUUCAAAAUACCCAGACUUCAAGGUUAAUCUGAAGGGCACAAACCUACCUCUGAGCUCACAUGGCUCCACACCAAGCCCAUAGAGAAGUCAGGAUAUCCUGGGCAGGCUCUCAAUAGGGUUUUUUCACAGGUGAUGCUUAUUUUCAGGGAUAUUUUAAUAAACCUGAGCAAUCACAGCAAGUUACUAAACAGUAAGUCCAUAACAAUUUUCACCUGGACAUCUCAGGUUACUUUGCAGGAAGUUGGUGGGGUUCAGAUAGUGAGGAAUAGUGGUUAUUCAAAACAGUCUUAAGAUUUCAUCUUUCUUCACAGGAUAACUCAAGAUGCUGGCAUUCUGCUCAGAAUUACUCUGCAGAGAAAUUUCCUUCCCCACUCACCAGAUAAAGCUGAGCAGGUCCAACCUCCAGGGCUUAAAUUUAUCCCAUGUGAAUAUGCCAAAAAGUGGCCUGUCCAAUUAACAACCUUCCUUAAAGGAUUGUCCUACAAGUCCUGUAACAGCUUCAAAGCUAUGUUUUGGCAUUUCCAGCUCCCUGCAUCCUUAGGGCACUGGGAACUCCUACCCAUCCUAAAUCCUGGGAAUAGUCCUGAUUUUCAUUGCUUGUCCCACCUACAGAAGCAGAAAGCCCGGGGGGUGUUGAUUUGUGUCCUCCUAAGGGUCUUUCCAUGCUGGAUACUCUCAAAAAAGGUCAUGAGGUGUUUGCUUUGCUCUAAAACCUCUCAUUGCCUUUUUUUUUUUUUUUUUUGUGGUCAGGAUUUGAAGGGAUUUAUUGUUUGUGGUCGAGGGUGGGAUUCACCCAUGCACGUUGCUGGAUGCUAACUGGGAGCUCAGCCCUGUGCUUUAGGGAAUGAGGCUCCAGUGAAAUGCCUCUCUGGUUCCCCAGGACGAUGGGCAGUUGUGCUGCUGGUCCGUGCAAGGGCAGAAAGACGAAAGUCACGGAGCUCACGUGAGGCUUUCUGCAGGCACAAGGCCCUUCUGGGCAGAGCCUCCAUUUCUGGGCCAGGCUCAUCCUGACAGGAGCAAGCAAGGAAAGCUCGGGUUGCUCCGUUGGGAUCCGGGAUGCAGAGGCCAUGCUGUCCCCAAGGCCUCCUCGCCUGCGCCGGGUUCCUCUCCCCCUCCCUGCGGGUGUUAUUUACACCAUUUCCUGCCCAGGGAAGUUCAGGAGUUUGACGUUGCUGGGUUGGUUUCCGCUCUCCUGCCUGGUUCCCAUCGGGAGCUCUGGCAGAGCCCAAGCCCUGCGGUGCCGGCAGCUGGGCAGGACCCUGCCCGUGCCAGCGGGCGGGAUAGAGGUGCCAGCCAGGCCCAGGGAAAGAAGUGUAACCCCUGUCACACCAGACAACUCAGGCUCAACCAGCCUGGGAGGGCUGGAAAAGCCGACUCCAUGUCCGUCCCUCCACCCCAGUCCUGCUGCAGGGCUGGACGGGAGGAAGGGAGGACGCGCCCGGGCACCGCUGCGGAGCUUUUGGGUUCCUGCCGAAUUGACGCCCUCCCUUCUCCCUCCCUCUCCUCCCCAUCCUUCCCUCCUGGCCUGCGUCUCCCCUCCCUUCCCUUCUCCCUCCCAUCCCGCAGCAAACAAAAUGGCUGCUCCAUGGCCAUUUUGUUUUCCGUCUGGAAGGGGGAAGCCGGGACGCUGGGACUUGGCUCUUUUUUGGAGGCUGCGGCCAUAUUCGAGCCCAACUCUCCCGUCUCUACGUGGCACCGGCUGUAGCGAGAGAGAGAGAGAGAGAGAGGAAAAAAAAAAAAAAAAAAAAAAAAAAAGGACCUUUUGGAACGAGCCCAGAGUCAGAGAGUGGGUAGUUUUGGCGUAUGUUGAGCACUGAAAAUGCCUGGAAUUGCCAAAGUGAGCUUUUGUGUUAGCAGCGUAAGGCUACUCGGUGCACGCAGAGUCGCAGGGCUGCACGGAAUAGCCGGACGGAAAGUGAUUCUGCAUUUCCUUCAGUAGCCUGGAUGUCUUGGAUUUGGUAGUCACGCCGUUUCGUUCAUGGACGCUCCGAGGAGCAGAUCUCUGUCCGGUGGCACGGGGGGAUCGGGCUCUGAUAAGGCAGCACUGUUGGAGUGAUCGUCCUACCUUUCCUUGAGUGGCUGUCCAGACAUGUGGAGAGAAGGAGACACUUUCAGAGAGGAGCUGGGAAGGAGAGCAGAAAGAGGUGAAAUCGCUUUUCUUGCACAGAAAGGAGCCACAGAGGAGCAGCUGCCUGGAUAAGGAUCAUCUCAGUGCCUUAGGCUGCCAUGGUGCCAAGCUGUCCUUGAGGCUGAGGUAGUAGAUUGAAUAGUUGUGGAGUCCGGUCCUCCCUUUGAGCUAACUAUACAAUCUACUGUCUUUCCUAAGGAGACAGUCAGGUCUUCGCAUCUCAUCAUCUCCUUCUACACCAAGUUCUCAUCAUCUCCUUCUACAGCCAGGUGGUGCAAGUAAAGCAAAUCUGUGAAUCUGCUGCGUCCCUGAGUCAGGCGAGUCCUCCGUUCUGCUCUCUGGAGGUGAGGUAGUAGGUUGUAUAGUUUGGUGGGAGGGAUUUGAUCCCAUUUCAGGUGAUAACUAUACAGUCUAUUGCCUUCCUUAAAGAGCAGCAAAAGCACUGGAGGAGCUCCCGAGGCAUCGCUUCUUCUGUUGAGGAUCCCAAAACGCAGCGUGGUGCUGUUGAACAACUCAGUGGUUCUUCUCUUAUAGCAUCCAGGAUUGCAAUUCUUCCAGGAACUGCUCCUUGCCUCAGGCACAUGAGCAUGGAGCCACCUGCUUAGAGAGAAUCCACCUCUGUUUAAUGGGUGCAGGAGAAACAGUGAAAUGGGGCUGUGCAUCAGCUCCUCGUGUUCAAUCCUACUCCCUUUUUGCAGGAGAUGAGCUCAAGCUGUAAAGUGUUUAAAUCUGUUGUUCUUUUCUGGUCUGUCAGGGCUGGAGGGGAGCAGGUACUUUGGUGCAAAUGGGAUAGAUUUGAGGUCACGACUUAAGUUGGCUGCACCCAAUUCUGAAGUUUGGGUUAAGAACCAGACCCGAGGGCAAGCUUAGCCUGUGGACUCAGAGCCCCGGGAGCUGAGCAGACCUGGCUGGUUGGCCCCUGCUCAGGAAGUGCAUUUUGUUUUGGACAAGUUCCCAGCUGUCCCAUGGUAUGGAGUUACAGGGUGGUUCUUUGUGAUCUGAUAAUUCCUAUCAACAUAACUCGCUGACAUGCAAACCCUGGCGAGGAGGUUUGGGCUCCUGGGUAUUUACACAGGAUAAGCCAAUGAUUCAGACUAAAAAUUUGCCCUAAAGUGAGACAAACAAGGAAGAGAUAUGAGCCAAAGGGAGCAAUUCCUAAUCCUUCUGGGUUCUCCCAGGGAGGUAGCACAUGCCUGACAAGAGACAUGUGAGAAGAGGUCACGCUUCAGAGCUCUGGCCCUUGGCAAGGAACAGGGAAUUGUUCAUUCCUCCCUUUCUUAGGAGCAGAUGGGACUAUCCCUCUGCCAUUUUCCAAAGUAAGCAGGAUCAAGACCAUGAGUGGAGCUGUAACACGAUCAGGGCUGCACCAGUUCUACAAGACCAAAGGAUAUUCCAGGCCAUUAUCAGGACCAUCUCACUGCCAGGGACACACGUGAGAUCCGAGACACCCGGGAGCGAGGGCGAGCAGAGGACACCUUCUCAGAUGAAGUGGGAGGGAGAGAGCUGCAAAGAGAAACUGGAGCCCUCAAAUUUCACCCUGAGCAAACACACAGGCACAGCCAGACCUGACUGCUUGGGCUGUGGGACUCCCCAGAACGAAGCAGCUCGUUCAAGGCUCCUCUGCUGGGAUGGGGCGUAGCUGCAGCGAGGCUGGGACACAGCUGGUGGGUGGGGAUGCUGCAGUGUGUAGCAGGGAAGGAAUGCAGCCCUCUCUCCAUAAAUCUGGCUUUUCAGCACUCCUGGAGACUUGCUGUGCAAAACUACAGCUUGGUUCUCUUAGCUGCAUUACUCUCCUCUAGCUGCUUGCUAAGGGGCACAGCUCCUGCCCACAAAUUGCUUGGAGGGUGCCAAAAUAGCACCACAAGCAUGGGAGCAGAGUGGCAUAUCCACUUAUAUGUAAGGGGUAUCCCCUCAAAAAGAACUAAUCCUGUGUGUCCCAGGUGGAAUCAGCUCAGUCCCCCUCCAUGGUAUUGAUGUUAAUGCAGAGAACCUCGAGCAGUGAAACUGUGUGAGCUGGAAGCCAUGAAUAAAAUAUUACUGGAGAUAUUCUCUUGUGAAAAUAAACUUGAUUUGACUUGUUUAAAA
Molecule: long non-coding RNA, 10084 nt
Organism: Myiozetetes cayanensis
Lineage: Eukaryota; Metazoa; Chordata; Aves; Passeriformes; Tyrannidae
Exons: 3
Source: RefSeq, a predicted model, not a curated record